This 1942-nucleotide ribosomal RNA is filed under the name human gut metagenome. Its description in RNAcentral is "bacterial LSU rRNA". It matches the Rfam family "Bacterial large subunit ribosomal RNA", at positions 343 to 2404 of the family's 2925-position model. The record is from RNAcentral.
UGGAAAGGUAAGCCGGAGAGGGUGACAGCCCCGUACGAGUAGAAAAGCUGACUGUUCUUGAGUAAGGCGGAGCACGAGAAAUUCUGUCUGAAAAUGGGGAGACCACUCUCCAAGGCUAAGUACUACUGAUUGACCGAUAGUGAACAAGUACCGUGAGGGAAAGGUGAAAAGCACCCCUAUAAGGGGAGUGAAAGAGAACCUGAAACCGGAUGCCUACAAGCAGUCGGAGGGUCUAUAAGGCCUGACGGCGUACCUUUUGUAUAAUGGGUCAGCGACUUAAUUUAUGUAGCAAGCUUAAGCCGAUAGGUGUAGGCGUAGAGAAAUCGAGUGUUAACAGCGCGUUAAGUUACAUGAAUUAGACCCGAAACCGAGUGAUCUAGCCAUGAUCAGGUUGAAGGUUGGGUAACACCAACUGGAGGACCGAACCCACUCCCGUUGAAAAGGUAGGGGAUGAAUUGUGGCUAGGGGUGAAAGGCCAAUCAAACUCGGAAAUAGCUGGUUCUCCGCGAAAACUAUUUAGGUAGUGCGGUGAGCGGACACCUUGAGGGGUAGAGCACUGGAAGAGCUAAGGGGGAGCGAUCCUUACUAAACUUUACCAAACUCCGAAUACUCAAGAGUGAUACUCACCAGACAGACAUUAGGUGCUAAGGUCUAGUGUCGAGAGGGAAAGAGCCCAGACCGCCAAUUAAGGUCCCAAAAUUAUGGCUAAGUGGUAAAGGAAGUGAAACGUCCAAAACAGUCAGGAGGUUGGCUUAGAAGCAGCCAUCCUUUAAAGAAAGCGUAAUAGCUCACUGAUCUAAACAAGACGUCUUGCGCCGAAGAUGUAACGGGGCUAAAGCCAUAUACCGAAGUUGCGGAUUUACACGUUAAAGUGUAAGUGGUAGCGGAGCGUUCUGUAAGCCUGCGAAGGUGUACCGUAAGGUAUGCUGGAGGUAUCAGAAGUGAGAAUGCUGACAUGAGUAGCGAAAAGAAGAGUGAGAGACUCUUCCGCUGAAAGUCCAAGGUUUCCUGCGUAAAGCUAAUCUGCGCAGGGUUAGUCGGUCCCUAAGGCGAGGCAGAGAUGCGUAGUCGAUGGCAAUCAGGUUAAUAUUCCUGAACCGGCCCGGAAGUGACGGAUUGAGUAAAUUGUAAGUUCUUAUUGGAUUGAGCUUGCAGUGAAUCAGUCCCAGGAAAUAGCCCGGGCUAAGACCGUACCCGAAACCGACACAGGUGGACAGGUAGAGAAUACCAAAGCGCUUGAGAGAACUAUGUUGAAGGAACUAGGCAAAAUACUUGCGUAACUUCGGGAUAAGCAAGCCCCAUUUUAAGGCAACUUAGGGUGGGGGGCACAUACUAGGGGGUAGCGACUGUUUACUAAAAACACAGGGCUCUGCUAAAUUGAAAGAUGAAGUAUAGGGUCUGACGCCUGCCCGGUGCUGGAAGGUUAAGGAGAGAUGUGCAAGCAUUGAACUGAAGCCCCAGUAAACGGCGGCCGUAACUAUAACGGUCCUAAGGUAGCGAAAUUCCUUGUCGGGUAAGUUCCGACCUGCACGAAUGGCGUAACGACUUCCCCGCUGUCUCCAACAUAGGCUCAGCGAAAUUGAACUCUGAGUUAAGAUGCUCAGUACCCGCGGUUAGACGGAAAGACCCCGUGAACCUUUACUAUAGCUUUGCAGUGGUAUUAGGUAACAAAUGUGUAGAAUAGGUGGGAUGCUAUGAAGCUACGACGCCAGUUGUAGUGGAGCAGACUUUGAAAUACCACCCUUUUGUUGUUUGAUAUCUAACCUGCUCCCGUUAUCCGGGAGAGGGACCCUGCAUGGUGGGUAGUUUGACUGGGGCGGUCGCCUCCCAAAGAGUAACGGAGGCGCGCAAAGGUUGGCUCAGAUUGGUCAGAAAUCAAUCGUCGAGUGCAAUGGCAUAAGCCAGCCUGACUGCGAGAGAGACAUUUCGAGCAGAUACGAAA